Molecule: long non-coding RNA, 3183 nt
Organism: Gorilla gorilla gorilla (western lowland gorilla)
Lineage: Eukaryota; Metazoa; Chordata; Mammalia; Primates; Hominidae
Exons: 2
Source: RefSeq, a predicted model, not a curated record
GGCUGGCAAGACACAGAUGGGCAUGAGUGUAUCACAUGUCUGAAACAAGAUAUGGUCACGCUCUCCUUUGAACGUCUCAACAAGCCUAUGAGGAAUGCAAAGCAGGUGCUGUGUCAUGCUAUUUUACAGAAGAAGAAACUGAGGCUCCAAAGAGGCAGGCUGACUUCAGCCCGUGUGGUUGGUAAGCAGCAGAGGCAGGAUUGGUGCCAGGUCAUCACCCAUUCUAUGCUCCCUCUAUGACUCAAGAAGGCUUUGGAGGACUUUCAGGAUGUAUUCAGAGCCUCUUGCCCUGCUCUGUGAACUAGAAUAUUGUCAGAUCAGCCUCAAGUACAGAAUAGCUUCCCACAGUCCGAAACUCACUGGUGAUAUUUUUCAGAGCAAGGCCAACAAGCCCCCUGCUGCUCUUUGGAGAGAACAAGUCAACAAGCUAAAGGUGGCUGACCCUUGUGGACCAAUACCAAGGACAUUGUGGUUCUAACACACCCUGGCAGCUUUUCAUUCUCAACAUCAUCCUGUGUUCUAUAUAUGGUGGUCUAUGCAAAAAACACAGGGGCCAGAAAUGGGACAUUCAGUAGAGAAGAGGGUCAGGAGCAAGUGGUGCUUUAUGGUUUAUCGAGAUCCAGUAAAUUUUUACUAAGCCAGCAUCUCAUAAAUGUGAAAGGAAAAUAACACAUCAGUUUGACUGUCAGGAUGUGUCCCAGGGAGAUGGAGAAACUGAGGAACAGAGGUGCUGAGUCAUCGGCUGAAGGUUACUAGCUAGGGGAGGCAGGAUGAACGACUGCAAGUACAUGCUGGAGGGGGCCGGAGCCACAGCCACUGUGCCUGCCCUUUCACCACCCAAAAAAGCAGCUCUUGGAACACCAGCCAAGGAAACUGGCUUGCUCUGCUUGGAGAUUAGUCCCAUGUAAUACAAACAGCUGACGGCAGAGACUUUGGAAAACAGGACUGGGAGUGGAGCGGGGUGGGGUGAGUUUUUGAGAACUUGGCUUGUUUUCUUGCUGGUUUUCUUACCAGUCUGCAGGAGUCAUUGAUUUAAUGUCCAGCCUCUGGUCAUGGGGAAUUAAAAUGGUCACAGGGAGAAUAGAAUUAAAAUGCUUGGAAAAUCCAUGGGUCAGGCAAGCCCAUAAUUGUUGGGGGAGAGGAGGGAAAGAACUAAGGUUUAUUGAGCUUUGUGCUGUUUUUCGUAUGUGUCUGUCAUUUAGACUUCACAGGAACCUUAACUUUGGGUGUUCUGUAGACGGUAGUGGGAUUCUCACUUUAUUAAUGAAAUUGACUGCAGUGUUUAAGUAACUGCAAACACUGAAAGCCAAACCCCAAACUCUUCCCCAGCAAACCAUUUUAUUCUAGGAUCUAGCAGUAUUAGCACUGGCUGGUUCAGGGCUCCCUGGACUCAGGAAUAUAGAAGUGAUGGGCCUUGAGGAGCUCCAGGACUUACGGCAUUCAGGGAGCAUGCACUUCUCCACCUGCUCCAGAUCCUCAUUGCAGUCUCCAAGUUCUGCCAGAGACUUGAGCAUCCGCUGUCGGGUUCGCAUGCCCUUCCCGCAGGUCACGCUGCAGUCACUCCACUCGGACCAUGGGGACAGCAAGCAUGGGAUGGUGUCUAGAUCAAGAACCAGGUUUGCCACUGAGAACAGGUUCCUUUUGUUUUGUUUGAUCUCCCUGACCCCACGGUGUUCCACACCGAGUCCCCUGCUUUGGCCCCUGGAAUAAAGUGGAAUUGGCCCAUGGGUUCAAAUAAGAGUGAAAUCUAUGGAGCAAGAAGUGGCUCAGCAGCCUACUGCUCUUCUUGUCACUCUCUUUCAUCUCCCUGCUGACCCCCCCCCCCCCCCCAAUGGUUAUGACAUGAGGGUAGCAAUAUGACUACAUAAGUCCCCACUAGAAAGGCCACUGAGGAUCUUAGGAUCUUAGCAGGGUCUUCCUAGAGACAGAAACAUCCCACACUCAUUAAGAAUCAGGCACUUCAGGAGAGGCUCAGGGAUGCAUUUUUAGACAUUGUGGUCCUGAAUUCCCUAGAAUGUGUAUGUACUUGUGUGCCUGUAUACAUCUGCAUACUAAUGUGUGGGCAGGCCCAUAUGCAUUUGUGCACAGAGCAGGGGAGGUCAUGCUUUAUGGGAUCAGCCAAGUCCAAUGUACAACAGGAGUGGGCUGGACCUGGGUAGUGUAUGUAUGUCCCACCUAAAUGUAUUGUCCCUCCUCCCCACCACUGCAAGAAAGACACUCCUAUAAAACACAGCUGCAGGUGAAUUCUAUCCAGAGGCCACCAGUUUGCCACCCUAGCAUUGCUUAGAAUGUCCCCCAAUGGAGGUUACUCUCUCUGGGUCUGGUUGAUGUCUACACACCUAUGUCUCUCAUCUGGCUCCCAGCAGUGCCCAGCAAGGACCAUGGGCCAUGCUUUCCUCUGCUCAGCCUCCGACCUUUAUGGUGGUAAUAGUGGAUGCCAUGGCCCUCCACCCCUCCAUGCCUGUCCCCGGUGGCCUCCUUCAAGUCCACCCCCGCUCUCACUCACGGCACUCUGGCAUCAUGCACUUCUCUGCCUGUGACGUCUCGGCUUUGCACAUGGAGCCAUCUGCGGGGCUCAUCUUGAUCAUGCGGUGCCGCUUCUUCAUGCCCAUGCCGCAGGUGGCGCUGCACUCGUCCCACUCGCCCCACUCGGUCAUCAGGCAGCUGCUGGGAGCUGGGGAGGCCGGCGGCAUUGGAGUCGCACCUGCUGCCUCCCCGACCUGCUUGCCCGCCCGCCCGCCCGGGGCCCCCACUCACAGCACUCCUCGUUGACCGUGCACUUCUCCGUUUCCUCAGUGGGCAGCGUGCACACGGAGCCGUCCUCCGGGAACUGCUUCACAUACCUCUCCCGGGACCUCAUGCCCAUGCCGCAGGAGAUGCUGCAGGGCGACCAGGUGAUCCACUCGGACAUGGUGCAGGUGGAGCCGUCUGCAACACACCAAGUGAACGCUGCAGCAGUGCACGGUGGCAGGGGCGCCUGCCAGGCCGCGCAGUGGGAACUUCCCGCCAGCGGGAAUCAAGAGGAGUCAGGCAGUUGAGGCUGUCUGCACACCUAAGAGGUCUAAAUCCUUAAACUGGCAAAGUUCUCUAAGUGGAAAUGCCUCUUUUCCAGGUGCAUGGGACACUCAGAAUUACUCUUUAUCUAUCUCAUGAAAAUACAUUUGAAAGAUGCUUGUAUGGAAA